CCCUCACUUUCGAUCAGUUGUUGCUCCACGAGAUAAACGUUGGACGCAAGACAUGGGUUCCUGUGUUGCAUACCUAUUGCGACGGAAAUGUGUGCCUUCGAUCGUCCCUUCCAUCACGGCGUCCUCACGGAUGCUCGGUUGGACCGGAUAGUGGGGCUCGUGUUCCACGGACGUCGUCUCAUUCGACCGUUCGGAUGGACCACGGGUGCCCACUCGUUCUCUCGGAUGCGGAAAUCUCUUGAUGGGCGUGGGGUCAUUGGCCCUUGGUCCCURAUCGUUAAGCGUAUAUCGCUUCACCGGAAUGACGAUCUCGCCUUGUCCUUGACCACGCGAAGCCCUCGGGCAUCGCGACGGAUCAUGCUCGGCGGACGUCGUGAAGGAAUGC
RNAcentral lists this unclassified non-coding RNA (385 nucleotides) under Eucalyptus paliformis. RNAcentral describes it as "partial external transcribed spacer". The record is from RNAcentral. Lineage: Eukaryota; Viridiplantae; Streptophyta; Magnoliopsida; Myrtales; Myrtaceae.